Molecule: ribosomal RNA, 496 nt
Filed under: uncultured bacterium
Lineage: Bacteria
Description: bacterial SSU rRNA
Rfam family: Bacterial small subunit ribosomal RNA
Source: RNAcentral
CCUGGCUCAGGAUGAACGCUAGCUACAGGCUUAACACAUGGCAAGUCGAGGGGCAGCACAGUGUAGCAAUACAUGGGUGGCGACCGGCGCACGGGUGCGUAACGCGUAUCCAACCUUCCCGUUACUCUUGGAUAGCCUUCCGAAAGGGAGAUUAAUACCCCCAUGGUGAUGUAGGGAGGCAUCUCCCUGCAUCUAAAGAAUUUCGGAAACGGAUAGGCUCGCGUGACAUUAGCUAGAUGGCGGGGUAACGGCCCACCAUGGCGACGAUGUCUAGGGGUUCUGAGAGGAAGGUCCCCCACACUGGAACUGAGACACGGUCCAGACUCCUACGGGAGGCAGCAGUGAGGAAUAUUGGUCAAUGGUCGGAAGACUGAACCAGCCAUGCCGCGUGAAGGUGACGGCCCUAUGGGUCUUAAACUUCUUUUGUAAGGGAGCAAUAAGGUUUACGUGUAGGCCGAUGAGAGUACCUUACGAAUAAGCAUCGGCUAACUCCGUG